AAGUCGUAACAAGGUUUCCGUAGGUGAACCUGCGGAAGGAUCAUUACUGAAUGGUCAAACAUGGGUUGUUGCUGGCCUCCCAAAAGGGGCAUGUGCACGCUCUGUUUACACAUCCACUCACACCUGUGCACCCUCUGUAGUUUUAUGGUUCGGGAGACCCCGUCUUCCUGCUGUAGCUCUACGUCUUUACACACACGCCGUAGUGAUGUCCUGUGGAAUGUUUUUCUGCGUUUAACGCAAUACAAUACAACUUUCAGCAACGGAUCUCUUGGCUCUC
This 277-nucleotide unclassified non-coding RNA is filed under the name Tomentella sp. RNAcentral describes it as "partial internal transcribed spacer region". The stretch from base 1 to 46 matches the Rfam family "Eukaryotic small subunit ribosomal RNA", at positions 1786 to 1831 of the family's 1831-position model. Lineage: Eukaryota; Fungi; Basidiomycota; Agaricomycetes; Thelephorales; Thelephoraceae. The record is from RNAcentral.